CAGUAGCCACGGUAAUACGGAGGGGGCUAGCGUUGUUCGGAAUUACUGGGCGUAAAGCGCACGUAGGCGGCUUGGUAAGUUAGGGGUGAAAGCCCGGAGCUCAACUCCGGCAUUGCCUUUAAGACUGCCGAGCUAGUAGGUGAGAGAGGUAAGUGGAAUUCCGAGUGUAGAGGUGAAAUUCGUAGAUAUUCGGAAGAACACCAGUGGCGAAGGCGGCUUACUGGCUCAUUCUAGACGCUGAGGUGCGAAAGCGUGGGGAGCAAACAGGAUUAGAUACCCGGGUAGUCCCUGUCUCUUAUAC
RNAcentral lists this ribosomal RNA (301 nucleotides) under uncultured bacterium. RNAcentral describes it as "partial 16S ribosomal RNA". It matches the Rfam family "Bacterial small subunit ribosomal RNA", at positions 509 to 807 of the family's 1533-position model. The record is from RNAcentral.